RNAcentral lists this ribosomal RNA (539 nucleotides) under Bullera sp. WM-2014. RNAcentral's name for it is "eukaryotic LSU rRNA". The stretch from base 156 to 310 matches the Rfam family "5.8S ribosomal RNA". Lineage: Eukaryota; Fungi; Basidiomycota; Tremellomycetes; Tremellales; Bulleraceae. The record is from RNAcentral.
GGGAUCAUUAAGGACUGCACGUCAAGUGCUUUUCUAAAUAUCAUUACACACACACCGUGAACUGUUUAUUGAAGGGGGGACUGCCGAAACGCGGGCUCUUCUGACCAUACCUUAUUACAAGAAGUCCUGAACGUGAAAUACUAUAAAAACAAUAUAACUUUCAACAACGGAUCUCUUGGCUCUCGCAUCGAUGAAGAACGCAGCGAAUUGCGAUAAGUAAUGUGAAUUGCAGAAAUUCAGUGAAUCAUCGAAUCUUUGAACGCACCUUGCACCUUUUGGUACUCCGAAAGGUAUGCCUGUUUGAGUGUCUUAAACCUCUCACCUUUGACGGUUUCUAAUGACCGUUCAAAUGCGUGGAUUUGGGUGUCUGCCUGGUGAACAACCUUAUGGCUCGCCUUAAAAGUAUUAGCUCGGUUCUAGUUCCAUGGCCUGAGGCGUAAUAAGUUAUUCGUCUCUGGGACUUGGUCUGGUCGGCUUCCAAUACCCAUCCAAUCUUUUGAUUAGACCUCAAAUCAGGUAGGGCUACCCGCUGAACUUAA